UGGGGAAUAUUGCACAAUGGGCGCAAGCCUGAUGCAGCCAUGCCGCGUGUGUGAAGAAGGCCUUCGGGUUGUAAAGCACUUUCAGCGAGGAGGAAGGUGGUGAACUUAAUACGUUCAUCAAUUGACGUUACUCGCAGAAGAAGCACCGGCUAACUCCGUGCCAGCAGCCGCGGUAAUACGGAGGGUGCAAAGCGUUAAUCGGAAUUACUGGGCGUAAAGCGCACGCAGGCGGUUUGUUAAGUCAGAUGUGAAAUCCCCGGGCUCAACCUGGGAACUGCAUUUGAAACUGGCAAGCUAGAGUCUCGUAGAGGGGGGUAGAAUUCCAGGUGUAGCGGUGAAAUGCGUAGAGAUCUGGAGGAAUACCGGUGGCGAAGGCGGCCCCCUGGACGAAGACUGACGCUCAGGUGCGAAAGCGUGGGGACAAACAGGAUUAGAUACCCUGGUAGUCCACGCUGUAAACGAUGUCGAUUUUGGAGGUUGUGCCCUUGAGGCGUGGNUUCCGGAGCUAACGCGUUAAAUCGACCGCCUGGGGAG
This 534-nucleotide ribosomal RNA is filed under the name uncultured bacterium. RNAcentral describes it as "partial 16S ribosomal RNA". It matches the Rfam family "Bacterial small subunit ribosomal RNA", at positions 355 to 880 of the family's 1533-position model. The record is from RNAcentral.